AAAUUGAAGAGUUUGAUCAUGGCUCAGAUUGAACGCUGGCGGCAGGCCUAACACAUGCAAGUCGAACGGUAGCACAGAGAGCUUGCUCUCGGGUGACGAGUGGCGGACGGGUGAGUAAUGUCUGGGAAACUGCCUGAUGGAGGGGGAUAACUACUGGAAACGGUGGCUAAUACCGCAUAACGUCGCAAGACCAAAGAGGGGGACCUUCGGGCCUCUUGCCAUCAGAUGUGCCCAGAUGGGAUUAGCUUGUUGGUGAGGUAACGGCUCACCAAGGCGACGAUCCCUAGCUGGUCUGAGAGGAUGACCAGCCACACUGGAACUGAGACACGGUCCAGACUCCUACGGGAGGCAGCAGUGGGGAAUAUUGCACAAUGGGCGCAAGCCUGAUGCAGCCAUGCCGCGUGUAUGAAGAAGGCCUUCGGGUUGUAAAGUACUUUCAGCGGGGAGGAAGGUGUUGUGGUUAAUAACCGCAGCAAUUGACGUUACCCGCAGAAGAAGCACCGGCUAACUCCGUGCCAGCAGCCGCGGUAAUACGGAGGGUGCAAGCGUUAAUCGGAAUUACUGGGCGUAAAGCGCACGCAGGCGGUCUGUCAAGUCGGAUGUGAAAUCCCCGGGCUCAACCUGGGAACUGCAUUCGAAACUGGCAGGCUUGAGUCUUGU
Molecule: ribosomal RNA, 660 nt
Filed under: Salmonella enterica
Lineage: Bacteria; Pseudomonadati; Pseudomonadota; Gammaproteobacteria; Enterobacterales; Enterobacteriaceae
Description: bacterial SSU rRNA
Rfam family: Bacterial small subunit ribosomal RNA
Source: RNAcentral